This 446-nucleotide ribosomal RNA is filed under the name uncultured bacterium. RNAcentral describes it as "partial 16S ribosomal RNA". It matches the Rfam family "Bacterial small subunit ribosomal RNA", at positions 338 to 795 of the family's 1533-position model. The record is from RNAcentral.
CCUACGGGAGGCAGCAGUAGGGAAUUUUCGGCAAUGGGCGGAACCCUGACCGAGCAACGCCGCGUGAACGAAGAAGUUAUUCGGAAUGUAAAGUUCUUUUAUCAGGGAAGAAAGAGAAAUUUGGCGGUACCUGAAGAAUAAGCCCCGGUUAACUCCGUGCCGGCAGCCUCGGUAAUACGUAGGGAGCGAGCGUUAUCCGGAAUUCUUGGGCGGAAAGGGUGCGUAGAUGGCAUAGUAAGUCUUUAGUAAAAAGGCGGGGCUCAACCCAGUAGGGCAAAAGAAACUGGAAAGCUAGAGUGUGAGAGAGGCAAGUGGAAAUACAUGUGUAGCGGUGAAAUGCGUAAAUAUAUGGAAGAACACCAGUGGCGAAGGCGGCUUGCUGGCUCGAUACUGACGUUGAGGCACGAAAGCGUGGGGAGCAAACAGGAUUAGAUACCCCAGUAGUC